GGUGCUUUAGAGUAGUGGUCUAACUCGCUCCUUCCGGUCACACCUCCUAUUUGUGACCCGAAGGGGAGAUCGGGGGUUCGAAUCCCUCAGGCACCG
This 96-nucleotide transfer RNA is filed under the name Hypoxylon rubiginosum. Its description in RNAcentral is "tRNA-Arg". It matches the Rfam family "tRNA". From Rfam's summary of the family: Transfer RNA (tRNA) molecules are approximately 80 nucleotides in length. Lineage: Eukaryota; Fungi; Ascomycota; Sordariomycetes; Xylariales; Hypoxylaceae. The record is from RNAcentral.